This 229-nucleotide unclassified non-coding RNA is filed under the name Hevea brasiliensis (rubber tree). Lineage: Eukaryota; Viridiplantae; Streptophyta; Magnoliopsida; Malpighiales; Euphorbiaceae. The record is from RNAcentral.
AUAACAGCACUCACAGCAAAAUCGCUUCUUAAAAUAGUUGAUGGAAAUGUUUUAUGGAUGCAUGAUCAGCUCAAAGACAUGGGAAGACAAAUCGUACAACGUGAGAAUUCUGGAGAUGUUGAUAAGCGUAGUAGAUUGUGGAAUCACGAUGAUAUUAUGACUGUCCUAAAUAACUACAAGGGCACAAGUAACAUUGAGGGUAUUGUGUUUCACUUUGAGAGGAAUCAAG